GAACGGGCGGGGUGCUAAUACAUGCAAGUCGAGCGCAGGAAGCAAGUUGAUCCCCUUCGGGGGUGACGCUUGUGGAAUGAGCGGCGGACGGGUGAGUAACACGUGGGCAACCUGCCUGUAAGACUGGGAUAACCCCGGGAAACCGGGGCUAAUACCGGAUAAUACUUUCUUUUGCAUAAAGGAAAGUUGAAAGGCGGCUUCGGCUGUCACUUACAGAUGGGCCCGCGGCGCAUUAGCUAGUUGGUGAGGUAACGGCUCACCAAGGCGACGAUGCGUAGCCGACCUGAGAGGGUGAUCGGCCACACUGGGACUGAGACACGGCCCAGACUCCUACGGGAGGCAGCAGUAGGGAAUCUUCCGCAAUGGACGAAAGUCUGACGGAGCAACGCCGCGUGAGUGAUGAAGGUUUUCGGAUCGUAAAACUCUGUUGUUAGGGAAGAACAAGUUGGAUAGUAACUGAUCGUACCUUGACGGUACCUAACCAGAAAGCCACGGCUAACUACGUGCCAGCAGCCGCGGUAAUACGUAGGUGGCAAGCGUUGUCCGGAAUUAUUGGGCGUAAAGCGCUCGCAGGCGGUCCUUUAAGUCUGAUGUGAAAUCUCGCGGCUCAACCGCGAACGGUCAUUGGAAACUGGAGGACUUGAGUACAGAAGAGGAGAGUGGAAUUCCACGUGUAGCGGUGAAAUGCGUAGAGAUGUGGAGGAACACCAGUGGCGAAGGCGACUCUCUGGUCUGUAACUGACGCUGAGGAGCGAAAGCGUGGGGAGCGAACAGGAUUAGAUACCCUGGUAGUCCACGCCGUAAACGAUGAGUGCUAGGUGUUAGGGGGUUUCCGCCCCUUAGUGCUGAAGUUAACGCAUUAAGCACUCCGCCUGGGGAGUACGGCCGCAAGGCUGAACUCAAAAGAAUUGACGGGGGCCCGCACAAGCGGUGGAGCAUGUGGUUUAAUUCGAAGCAACGCGAAGAACCUUACCAGGUCUUGACAUCCUCUGCUAUUCCUAGAGAUAGGAAGUUCCCUUCGGGGACAGAGUGACAGUG
RNAcentral lists this ribosomal RNA (1038 nucleotides) under Oceanobacillus picturae. RNAcentral's name for it is "bacterial SSU rRNA". It matches the Rfam family "Bacterial small subunit ribosomal RNA", at positions 31 to 1039 of the family's 1533-position model. Lineage: Bacteria; Bacillati; Bacillota; Bacilli; Caryophanales; Bacillaceae. The record is from RNAcentral.